This 752-nucleotide ribosomal RNA is filed under the name uncultured archaeon. RNAcentral describes it as "bacterial SSU rRNA". It matches the Rfam family "Archaeal small subunit ribosomal RNA", at positions 102 to 859 of the family's 1478-position model. The record is from RNAcentral.
GGACAACCUGCCCUGCGGUGAGGGAUAACUCCGGGAAACUGGAGAUAAUACCUCAUAGUUUACCAUCGCUGGAAUGCCUGGUAAGCGAAAGGUCCGCCGCCACAGGAUGGGUCUGCGGCCGAUUAGGUUGUUGUUGGGGUAACGGCCCAACAAGCCUGUGAUCGGUACGGGUUGUGGGAGCAAGAGCCCGGAGAUGGAUUCUGAGACACGAAUCCAGGCCCUACGGGGCGCAGCAGGCGCGAAAACUUUACAAUGCAGGCAACUGUGAUAAGGGAACCCCGAGUGCCCGUAUGGACGGGCUGUUCAGGUGCUUAAAAACCACCUGGAGAAAGGGCCGGGCAAGACCGGUGCCAGCCGCCGCGGUAAUACCGGCGGCUCGAGUGGUGGCCACUAUUACUGGGCUUAAAGCGUCCGUAGCUUGGUCGUUAAGCCUCUGGGGAAAUCUUCCGGCUCAACCGGAAGGCGUCUCAGGGGAACUGGCGGCCUAGGGAUCGGGAGAGGUGAGAGGUACUCUGGGGGUAGGAGUGAAAUCCUGUAAUCCUCAGGGGACCACCUGUGGCGAAGGCGUCUCACCAGAACGACUCCGACAGUGAGGGACGAAAGCUGGGGGAGCAAACCGGAUUAGAUACCCGGGUAGUCCCAGCCGUAAACGAUGCGCGUUAGGUGUAUCGGUGACCACGAGUUACCGAGGUGCCGAAGGGAAAUCGUGAAACGCGCCGCCUGGGAAGUACGGUCGCAAGGCUGAAACUUAA